GACGAACGCUGGCGGCAUGCCUAAUACAUGCAAGUCGAGCGAACAGAUGGAGUGCUUGCACUUCUGACGUUAGCGGCGAACGGGUGAGUAACACGUAAGGAAUCUACCUAUAAGCGGGGGAUAACAUUCGGAAACGGGUGCUAAUACCGCAUAAUAUCUUCUUCCGCAUGGAAGAAGAUUGAAAGACGGCUCUGCUGUCACUUAUAGAUGACCUUGCGGUGCAUUAGUUAGUUGGUGGGGUAAUGGCCUACCAAGACGAUGAUGCAUAGCCGACCUGAGAGGGGGAUCGGCCACAUUGGGACUGAGACACGGCCCAAACUCCUACGGGAGGCAGCAGUAGGGAAUCUUCCGCAAUGGGCGAAAGCCUGACGGAGCAAUGCCGCGUGAGUGAAGAAGGCCUUCGGGUCGUAAAACUCUGUUAUAAGAGAAGAACAAAUUGUAGAGUAACUGCUACAGUCUUGACGGUAUCUUAUCAGAAAGCCACGGCUAACUACGUGCCAGCAGCCGCGGUAA
Molecule: ribosomal RNA, 513 nt
Filed under: uncultured bacterium
Lineage: Bacteria
Description: partial 16S ribosomal RNA
Rfam family: Bacterial small subunit ribosomal RNA
Source: RNAcentral